UUCUCUUACCAAAUCAGAUCAUCUUCGAUAAGAAGAAUCACUGUCAACCUACUCCAGCCAUGACUUACAUCUGAAUCUUCAUAGCAUAACUCUAGCUAGCACAACCCUUAUCAACUUCCCUGAACACUCCUCGAUCACUGGAUCCUCAACUCUGUCUCCUCGCCUAGCAUUAGCCUUAUUCACAAUCUCAAUCAAUCAUCUCAUCUUUAAGCCUUUCUGAAAUGGUUAGAAAGGAAUAGCAAGGGUGAGCAACAAUGCUCAGCAAGUAAUAAUAAACAAUGAUAGUUCUGAAAUGAUAUAACAGAAGUUCACGAGUUCAAAAUAUAAAAGGAUUCAACCUGAGUUCACGAGUUUAGGUAUUGUAUAAGAAAAUCACAAUACCUUGCAGCAAUUGAAUACUGAGGAAUUCAAUCUUUCCAAAAGAAUUAUUGUAUUGGACUAUCACAUUUUAAUUAAAACCAAGGUUAGGCUGCUGAUCAGACAUACCUAACCCCGAGCAGGCCCC
Molecule: long non-coding RNA, 505 nt
Filed under: Daucus carota (carrot)
Lineage: Eukaryota; Viridiplantae; Streptophyta; Magnoliopsida; Apiales; Apiaceae
Description: long non-coding RNA (DCAR_LNC007244)
Source: RNAcentral